AGCCCAGCUUGAAAAUCUCCAGCCCCCGGCUGGCGAAUUGUAGUCUAGAGAAGCUGCCUCUGCGGAGCUCCGGGCCCAAGUCCCCUGGAAAGGGGCGUCAGAGAGGGUGAGAACCCCGUUGGGCCCGGCCGACUCCGCCCCACGAGGCGCUUUCGCAGAGUCGGGUUGUUUGGGAAUGCAGCCCUAAGCAGGUGGUAAAUCCCAUCUAAGGCUAAAUACCGACGGGAGACCGAUAGCGAACAAGUACCGUGAGGGAAAGAUGAAAAGAACUUUGAAAAGAGAGUUAAAAAGUGCUUGAAAUUGUUGAGAGGGAAGCGAUUGGAGGCCACGGGUGCGCCCGGGCACACGCCUGCCCACCGGCAGGUUGAAUGCGCCGGGUGCUGGUCAGCAUGGGUUGGGAGGGCGGGAUAACACCGGGGGUUGCUACCCCGGCCAUGCCGCCCCCCCGACCGAGGAGUGAACGGCGCUCUCUGAGUCCUUCGGGAACUGCGUCGUCAAGAUGCUGGCGGAAGGCCUUCAAUCGGCCCGUCUUGAAACACGGACCAAGGAGUCUAACAUGUAUGCGAGCUGGUGGGUGGCAAACCCAUGAAGCGCAAGGAAACUAACUGGUGGGAUGGCCCGUGCCUGCACCACCGACCGACCAUGAUCUUCUGUGAAAGGUUCGAGUACGAGCAUACCUGUUGGGACCCGAAAGAUGGUGAACUAUGCCUGAGCAGGGCGAAGCCAGAGGAAACUCUGGUGGAGGCUCGUAGAUGUGCUGACGUGCAAAUCG
RNAcentral lists this ribosomal RNA (772 nucleotides) under Micractinium sp. GA001. Its description in RNAcentral is "partial large subunit ribosomal RNA". It matches the Rfam family "Eukaryotic large subunit ribosomal RNA", at positions 106 to 900 of the family's 3401-position model. Lineage: Eukaryota; Viridiplantae; Chlorophyta; Trebouxiophyceae; Chlorellales; Chlorellaceae. The record is from RNAcentral.